GAGGAAUAUUGGUCAAUGGACGUAAGUCUGAACCAGCCAAGUAGCGUGCAGGAUGACGGCCCUAUGGGUUGUAAACUGCUUUUGUAUGGGGAUAAAGUCAAUCACGUGUGAUUGUUUGCAGGUACCAUACGAAUAAGGACCGGCUAAUUCCGUGCCAGCAGCCGCGGUAAUACGGAAGGUUCGGGCGUUAUCCGGAUUUAUUGGGUUUAAAGGGAGCGUAGGCCGGAGAUUAAGUGUGUUGUGAAAUGUAGACGCUCAACGUCUGACUUGCAGCGCAUACUGGUUUCCUUGAGUACGCACAACGUUGGCGGAAUUCGUCGUGUAGCGGUGAAAUGCUUAGAUAUGACGAAGAACUCCGAUUGCGAAGGCAGCUGACGGGAGCGCAACUGACGCUUAAGCUCGAAGGUGCGGGUAUCAAACAGGAUUAGAUACCCUGGUAGUCCGCACAGUAAACGAUGGAUGCCCGCUGUUGGUACCUGGUAUCAGCGGCUAAGCGAAAGCAUUAAGCAUCCCACCUGGGGAGUACGCCGGCAACGGUG
Molecule: ribosomal RNA, 539 nt
Filed under: uncultured bacterium
Lineage: Bacteria
Description: bacterial SSU rRNA
Rfam family: Bacterial small subunit ribosomal RNA
Source: RNAcentral